GAUGAACGCUGGCGGCGUGCCUAAUACAUGCAAGUCGAGCGAACAGACGAGGAGCUUGCUCCUCUGACGUUAGCGGCGGACGGGUGAGUAACACGUGGAUAAUCUACCUAUAAGACUGGGAUAACUUCGGGAAACCGGAGCUAAUACCGGAUAAUAUAUUGAACCGCAUGGUUCAAUAGUGAAAGACGGUUUUGCUGUCACUUCUAGAUGGAUCCGAGCCGCAUUAGCUAGUUGGUAAGGUCACGGCUUACCAAGGCAACGAUGCGUAGCCGACCUGAGAGGGGGAUCGGCCACACUGGAACUGAGACACGGUCCAGACUCCUACGGGAGGCAGCAGUAGGGUAUCUUCCGCAAUAGGCGAAAGCUUGACGGAGCAACGCCGCGUGAGUGAUGAAGGUCUUCGGAUCGUAAAACUCUGUUAUUAGGGAAGAACAAAUGUGGAAGUAACUAUGCACGUCUUGACGGUACCUAAUCAGAAAGCCACGGCUAACUACGUG
RNAcentral lists this ribosomal RNA (497 nucleotides) under uncultured bacterium. Its description in RNAcentral is "partial 16S ribosomal RNA". It matches the Rfam family "Bacterial small subunit ribosomal RNA", at positions 28 to 507 of the family's 1533-position model. The record is from RNAcentral.